AUUCGAGACCGUGCAUCUUGGCUGAUUUUGUGUUUUUGUUUAUCAAUGACUUUAUGACGGAAACAGCCGUGUUCCUCAGUAAAAAUAUAUUUAGCAAGUAUACUAAAAAGUAACAUGGAUAUACAAUUUCCAUUUCCAUUUAAACCCUACGAUAUACAAGAGAAGUUCAUGAGAGAACUUUAUUUAACUUUGGAACAACAGCAACUUGGAAUUUUUGAGAGCCCUACUGGCACGGGUAAAUCGCUAAGCAUCUGCUGUGGUACUCUCAAAUGGCUGAAGGACAGCAACCAGAAAAUAUGGGAUGAUCUAGAAAAUGAGGUUGCAAAGCUAAAAGCAGAAAUAUCGAAUAAUACAGCUUCAGAUGACUGGCUAACAGAAGAGUACGAAAAAAUAAAGAAGAAUCAAACAUUAGUCACACUACAGUUAAAACUAGACAACAUUAAAAAACGAAAAGACCUGUUCGAUCAAAUCAAAAUUAGGGUUGCUAAACAGAAGGCUAACUCAGCUAACAAGACUAUUGAAUUUUAUUUUAAUAAGAAAGACAAAAGAGAAAAGGGUGACAAUGAUAAAGAAAAUGUUGUGGAAGAAAAAGAGGAUACAGAAGAAGAUAGAGAUCUUAUUCUAGAAGAAUGUGAGGACAAAGAGGAUGGAGAUUCCGAGGGUGAAGAAAUUGUUGAAGAUCAUGAUGACGUUACAAAAAUAUACAUAAGUAGCAGAACACACAGUCAGCUAUCACAGUUCAUCGGUGAAAUCAAAAGGACAGUCUUUGCAGAAGAUACAAGAGUGGUCACCCUAGCUUCUAGACAACACUACUGUAUUAACUCUGAAGUUAAUAAGCUGAAAAAUGUUAAUCUUAUUAAUGAAAGAUGCUUAGAUAUGCAGAAAUCGAAAACGAAAUCAACCUCAGUAGGUGAGGAGGGCAAGGUACUAAAAAGGACUAAGACAAGAUCAUGCACAGCCUGUCCGUACUAUAAUCAGACAAACAUAACUCGUUUGAAGGAAAGAAUGCUGGUAGAUAUUCUGGAUAUGGAGGAUUUAGUCAAAUGUGGCAAAGAGUUGAAGGCCUGCCCUUAUUACGCUUCUAGAAUGGCAAUGGACGAUGCUGAGGUAGUCCUAAUAAGUCACGCAGGCAUAGUAAGUUCAGGUGCCCGUUCCGGCAUAUCUCUAAAACUACAGAACAACAUACUAAUACUAGAUGAGGCCCAUGGUUUAACAGCAGCUUUAGAGAACGCCCACUCAGCGCCCGUGACGUUCAAACAACUGAGCUCUGUGAAGACAUUCUUGCAGUUUUAUAUCAAUAAGUAUAGAGCGAGAUUGAGUAGUAAGAAUUUGUUGACGUUGAACCAGAUUAGUUUUGUGGUUGGGAAGCUAUUAGGCAUGAUAAAACCCAAACCAACUGAAAAGAAGCAAGACGAAACUACAAUAUUCACCCUUGAAGACUUUGUAAUAAAGGCUGAAAUUGAUCACAUGAACUUACGACCAUUAGUAGAAUUCUGCAGAAACACUAGAUUAGCUCCUAAACUCCACGGUUUCUCUAUGAGGUACAGUCAGCAAGCUCUUGAAGAGGAGAUGAAGAAAAGUACGGUCAGCAAAAAGAGUUCUUUUGAAAUGUUCAUGAGUAAUAUUGCUAAGAAAAAAGAUGGGGAGAAAGUUGAAGUUGUUGCUGAAGUGAAACAAAAUGUAGCACCAGUUCAAGUGCCAACAGAAACAUCAGCAGGCAGUGGGUUGUACGCGAUCCUAGAUUUCCUAGAAAUGCUCUGUGACCGCAGCGAGAACGGACGAGUGUUCGCACAUAGGGACAGUGGACUCAAGUAUCUGUUGUUGAACCCUGCUGAACAUUUUGCUGAUGUUGUGAAGGAAUGUCGAUCUGUGAUAGUAGCAGGUGGUACAAUGGAGCCUAUAUCAGAAUUUAAAGCAUUACUCACCACAAACUCACGCACAGAUGACAUAGUCAAUAUAGUGAGAUGUGAACAUGUAGUACCUUCAGAUAAUGUAUUAGGAGUUUGUCUAUCGAAGGGACCUACCAAUGUCAGUCUUAACUUUUCGUAUGAAAAUAGAAUGUCUAAUGAAUUGCUCAGCGAAAUAGGUCGGAUUCUUCGAAACAUCAGCAGCAUAGUACCGGGUGGCGUUGUAUGCUUCUUACCGUCGUAUUCCUACGAACAAACAGUCUAUGAUCAUCUCAAGAACAGUAAAGUUCUAGAAGCUAUUACUAAGAAGAAAUCCUUAUUCCGUGAACCGAAGUCCGCUUCUGAUGUUGAUCAAGAAGCUAGCAAAUCCGCGAGUAACAUAUUUUACGGGAAGAAGUUCUCUCGAAACGGGACCGGGGGGUGAAAUCGCGGGAUACAGCUAGUGAUGACGGUAUUGAAACUGCACUUGGCCAGUCUUCUUAUUUAGUGAUUGUUUUGUUGUUUUUUGUAGGUGUUAAAUAAAUUCGCAGCAGCAGUAAAAUGCAAAGAUGGAGAUCGCAAUGGUGCCUUAUUGCUGAGUGUUGUUGGUGGUAAGCUCAGUGAAGGACUGAAUUUCAGUGACGAUCUAGGACGAUGUGUAAUGGUAGUAGGCAUGCCGU
This 2566-nucleotide unclassified non-coding RNA is filed under the name Helicoverpa zea (corn earworm). RNAcentral's name for it is "aTP-dependent DNA helicase DDX11, transcript variant X3". Lineage: Eukaryota; Metazoa; Arthropoda; Insecta; Lepidoptera; Noctuidae. The record is from RNAcentral.